CUACGGGAGGCUGCAGUGAGGAAUAUUGGGCAAUGGGCGAAAGCCUGACCCAGCAACGCCGCGUGAAGGAUGAAUGUCGUAAGAUUGUAAACUUCUUUUGGAGGGGAUGAAAAAACAGGUUUGUAGCCUGAAUUGACGGUACCCUCAGAAUAAGCCCCGGCUAACUACGUGCCAGCAGCCGCGGUAAUACGUAGGGGGCAAGCGUUGUCCGGAUUUACUGGGUGUAAAGGGCGCGCAGGCGGGUUUGUCAGUCAGGGGUGAAAUCCUACAGCUUAACUGUAGAACUGCCUUUGAUACUGCAAACCUUGAGUACGGAAGAGAGAGGCGGAAUUCCAGGUGUAGUGGUGAAAUACGUAGAUAUCUGGAAGAACACCAGAGGCGAAGGCGGUCUCUUGGUCCGUUACUGACGCUGAGGCGCGAAAGCGUGGGGAGCAAACAGGAUUAGAUACCCCGGUAGUC
This 459-nucleotide ribosomal RNA is filed under the name uncultured bacterium. RNAcentral describes it as "partial 16S ribosomal RNA". It matches the Rfam family "Bacterial small subunit ribosomal RNA", at positions 339 to 795 of the family's 1533-position model. The record is from RNAcentral.